This 275-nucleotide ribosomal RNA is filed under the name uncultured Ascomycota. Its description in RNAcentral is "partial 18S ribosomal RNA". It matches the Rfam family "Eukaryotic small subunit ribosomal RNA", at positions 548 to 829 of the family's 1831-position model. Lineage: Eukaryota; Fungi; Ascomycota. The record is from RNAcentral.
UUGGAGGGCAAGUCUGGUGCCAGCAGCCGCGGUAAUUCCAGCUCCAAUAGCGUAUAUUAAAGUUGUUGUGGUUAGAAAGCUCGUAGUUGAACCUUGGGCCUGGCUGGCCGGUCCGCCUCACCGCGUGUACUGGUCCGGCCGGGCCUUUCCCUCUGUGGAACCCCAUGCCCUUCACUGGGUGUGGCGGGGAAACAGGACUUUUACUGUGAAAAAAUUAGAGUGCUCCAGGCAGGCCUAUGCUCGAAUACAUUAGCAUGGAAUAAUAGAAUAGGACG